UCGAGAAUCAUUCGCAAUGGGCGGAAGCCUGACGGUGCGACGUCGCGUGGAGGAUGAAGGUCUUAGGAUUGUAAACUCCUGUCAUGUGGGUUAAAUGGCCGGGGCACGAAUAGUGCCUCGGAAUGAUAGUACCACAGGAGGAAGAGACGGCUAACUCUGUGCCAGCAGCCGCGGUAAUACAGAGGUCUCGAGCGUUGUUCGGAUUUACUGGGCGUAAAGGGAGCGUAGGCGGUUCGGUAUGUCGAAUGUGAAAGCCCACAACUCAACUGUGGAAAUGCAUUCGAAACUGCCGGGCUAGAGUACUGGAGAGGAGAGCGGAAUUCUUGGUGUAGCGGUGAAAUGCGUAGAUAUCAAGAGGAACACCGGUGGCGAAGGCGGCUCUCUGGACAGAUACUGACGCUGAGGCUCUAAAGUUAGGGGAGCAAACAG
Molecule: ribosomal RNA, 429 nt
Filed under: uncultured bacterium
Lineage: Bacteria
Description: bacterial SSU rRNA
Rfam family: Bacterial small subunit ribosomal RNA
Source: RNAcentral